GCUGCCAUUGAGGAGCAUUUACUCAGUGAGUGCAAGAGGUUUGUUUGAAACAGACCGCAAUGGAGAGAUCAGCGCCCAGGGAAGCGAGGGAACAGCAGGCUCCUUCCAGCAGCACAUCGGGAUGGGAACCUGGGACACAGAGGGGGCUCCGAGACCGGGAUUGAUUCGGGGCAAAUGUUUGAUGGACCAAGAUAAUGUAAUAUUUCCUCAGUACAAGCCAAGUAUGACCAUCUGCUUCUAACAACUAACAGGAGAUGUCACUUCUGUCUUCCUCCAGACAAAUACUUGAAGGACCAAGAUAUAUUCUCUCGGGGCAAAGCCAAGUGUGAUCAGUUUCUUCUAACAAACAGCAGCUCUGUUACUAUUGUCAGACUAAAGAACGUCCUUUUCACAGUCUCAGAGCUGUUUGAAUUAGAUGCAUAUUCAGCUCCAUUUCAAACAAAGAGUUAAAUCCCACCAAGGAAUUACAAUGUUUUUAUCACUCUCCAUGCACAUCACCCCAUUUCCAAUAAAUGUUAUUAUUCACUGCCACAUAGUCAUAGAUUUAUACAGCACAGAAACAGACACUUCGGCUGGACUCAUCCAUGCCAACCAGAUAUCCUGAACUAAUCCAGUCUCAUUUGCCAGCACAUGGCCCAUAUCCCUCUAAACCCUUCCUGUUCGUGUAUCCAUCCAGGUUCCUUUUAAAUGGUGUAACUGUACCAAUCUCCACCAACUUCUCUGGCAGCUCAUUCUAUACACACAUGCCCUCCAGAUCCCUUUUAAAUCUUCCCCUCUAACCCUAAGCCUAUGCCCUCUCGCUCUGGACUCCCCUACCCCAUGGAAUAAAUGUUGUCUAUUUAUCCUAUCCAUAGCUCUCAUGAUUUUAUCAAACUCUAUUAGUUUACCCUUCCGAAAACAGCCUGAAGCCUAUUCAACAUCUUCCGAUACCUCAAAUACUCCAACGCUGGCAACAUCCUUGUAAAUCCUUUCUGAACCCCUUCAGGUUUCACAAUAUCUUUCCAAUAGGUAGAGAUCAGAAUUACAUGCAAUAUUCCAACAAUGGCCCAACCAAUGUCCUGUACAGUUGCAACAUGACCUGCCAACUCCUGUAAUCAAUUCACUGACCAAUAAAGGAAAGCAUACAAUACGCCUUCUUCACUAUCGUAUCAACCUGCAACUCCACUUUCAAGGAGCUAUGAACCUGCACUCCAAGGUCUCUUUGUUCAGCAACACUCCCUAGGACCUUAUCAUUAAGUAUAUAAGUCCUGCUAAGAUUUGCUUUCCCAAAAUGCAGCACCUCACUUUAUCUAAAUUAAACUCCAUCUGCCACUUCUCAGCCCAUUGGCCCAUCUGAUCAAGAUCCUGUUGUAAUCCGAGGUAAUCAUCUUCGCUGUCCAUUACACCUCCAAUUUUGGUGUCAUCUGCAUACUUACUAACUAUACCUCUUGUCAGGUGAGUCAGUGGGCUGAGGAGUGGCAGUUGUCGUUUAGUUUACAUUUUGAAAAGGCAAACCAAGACAUGAAUUCCACACUUAAUGGUAGGGCGUUAGGGAGGGUUGCUGAAUGAAGAAACCUCAGUGUGCCGGUGAAGAUUUCCUUGAAUGUACUCCAACAGGUUUAUUUGGAGGCAUUAGCUGUCAAGGCACUGUUCCUUCAACUACCUGAUGAAGGUGCAGUGCUUCAAAAGCUAGUGUUUCUAAAUAAAUCUGUUGGACGAAAGCCUGGUAUUGUGUCAUUUUUCACUUUGUCCACCCGAGUCCAACACUGGCACCUCCAAGUCCAAGUCACAAAUAGACAGGACGGUGAAGAAGGCAUUUGGCAUGCUUGCCUUCAUUGUUCAGAAUGUUGACUGUUGGAGUUGGGAGGUCAUCUGGUGGCUGUGCAGGACAUUGGUGAAUCCACUUUCAGGAGAUUGUGUACAAUUCUCAUCAACCUGCUGCAGGAAGGAUUUUGUUAAACUUGAGGUGGUACAGUAAAGAUUUACUAGGAUGUUAUUGAGAUAGUCGUACAGCUUAGAAACAGACCUUUUGGCCUACCAUGUCCACGAUGUUCAACAAACAUCAAACUACAUUCAUCCCAUUUACCUGCACUUGGCCCAUAGCUGACUAUAUCUUGGCUUUUUAAAAGCACGUCCCGAUGCUGCUUAAAUGCUGUGAGAGUACUCAAUCACCCUCUCAGGCAGAACGUUCCAAACUUUACCCAUCUUCUGGGUAAAAAUAUUUUUCUCACAUUUCCUCUAAGCUGUUUUCUCCUCAACUUCAAUUUGUGCCCUCUGGACUUAGACACAUCGGUCACGGGGAGAAAGAGUCUCUCAAUCUACUCUGCCUACAUUUCUGAUGAUUUGGAGAUGCCAGUGUUGGGCUGGGGUGUACAAAGUUAAAAAUCACACAACAC
Long non-coding RNA from Hemiscyllium ocellatum (epaulette shark), 2375 nucleotides. RefSeq lists it as uncharacterized. The transcript is spliced from 3 exons. Lineage: Eukaryota; Metazoa; Chordata; Chondrichthyes; Orectolobiformes; Hemiscylliidae. The record is from RefSeq and is a predicted model, not a curated record.